GGACCAGAGACUGGCCUACUAGGGAACAUGCUGCAGCCCAAACCAGAAACAGCCCAAAUAUCCUUCCACAGGAGAAUGGGAAGAAAAAAGAAAAAUUAUAGCAGCUUCAUGCAGUGGGAUGCUUCUCAGGGAUGAAGGUGAAUCAUCUCACAGCUCCCUGUGACAGCAUAGCUCCUGCAAAAACUGAAAUGAACUAGAUGGGUCUAUGUUGUUAAGAGCUCCCAGUUUGCUUCCUCCUUCAUCGAACACCAGCUGGACACUUGGGUGUGAGCAUCAGCACUGGUAAAUCCAGCAGUGUGUGCUGUUCACAGCAGCUCGGCAGACACUGUUGAUCAAGUCUGAGGUCUUCUUGGUAACAUCUCUACAGAGCCAUCAAGUUUCAUAGGUGCUGUUGCUAAAGCAGGACUCAGCUCACCUGGAAUCACCCGGACGAAGGGGACUACUUCUAUGCAGUACAGGAGUUUCCUCACUGAGAAUGUUAUGAAGCUUUUGUUUUCAAUUCUGAGCUUUUUUCUGGGUAUGCAGCAGGUGGGUGGUUGCUGGCAUCUGGAUUAUGUGCUAACACCUAGGCUGACAGGGACAGAAGUGGACUGUGGGUGUGCGCUGAGCAGAGGACAAGAUUCUCUGGGAUCUGGAGAUUUGAAGCUUUCUCCCUAUGAACAGUGGACACCCAGGCCCCUAAUUUGGCCCAGAGCAUUCCUAGGCUGAGGGAUCGUUGGAGAAUGCCUAGGAAGCCUGGGCACAUUUUCUGCCAAUAGGAGCACCUAGGCCAGGGUCGCUCAGGGAGACCCUGCUGUCAGUGACAUGGACAUGUAGGAGGGCCAGGUCUGCAGGACCUGACAAGCCUCUGAAAGCAGAGGGAGCAACAAAAACGGUGACUGCUACAAUGGACUGCAUUUGUGUGCCUCCUGAAAAUUCCUGUGUUGAAGCCCUCACCCCCCAGUGUGAUGGUAUUUGGAACUGGGGCCUUUGGGAGAUAAUCCGGUUUGGAUGAGGUCAUGAAGUUGGAGCCCACCUGAUAAAAUUCAUGCCCCCCCCCUUUAAAAGAUUUCAUUUAUUUAUGUGACAGAGAGAGACACAGUGAGAAAGGGAACACAAACAGGGAGUGAGAGAGGGAGAAGCAGGCUCCCCACGGAGCAGGGUGCCUAAUGCGGGGCCUUAAGCAGGGACCAAUCUCCUAGGAUCAUGACCUGAGCCGAAGGCAGACGCUUAACGACUGAGCCACCCAGGUGUCCCAGAAUUCAUCCUUUAUAAGAAGAGGAAGAGACCAGAGUCCCCCCACCCCUGCCAUGUGAGAGUACAGUAAGAAGACAGCCAUCUGCAAACCAGGAAGAGAGAGCUCACCAGACACGGAACCUGCCAGCACUGCGCACUUGGACUUCCCAGUCUCCAGAACCGAGAGAAAUGUCUGUUGUCUAAGUCACCCAGACUGUAGCAUUUCAUUAUAGCAGCCUGAGCUAACACAGCUACCACUGAGGGCCUGGGCUUGCUUUCAAUUUUUCUGGCACUGCCUAAGCCCCUGAUAUUUUGUAACCUUGUGGAGGGAGGACGGAGCCCCACUAAUGGCUACAGUUGAAUUUCUUCCCAGCGUGGCAGUUUGGGGCACAGUAAAUUCCAUUUGAUUGAGAAAAAAUAAGGAAUGUGUCAUUUGGUGUACAUUUUGUAACAAAAAACUGGUAAACAACAUAAUUAUCAAGUUAUUGGAAUAUUUUGCGGCCUUCUCUUUUUUGCAUUUGUGGCUCCUCUGUCCAUUGAAUUCUAGGCAUUUUCCUUGUCAGGUUUCUCAAUGUCUCCAGGCUUGGAAUUUUUUUUUUUUUAAGAUCUUCUUCAUUUAUUUGACAAAGAGAGACAGAGAUCACAAGUAGGCAGAGCAUCAGGCAGAGAGAGAAGGGGAAGCAGUCUCCCUGCUGAGCAGAGGGCCACACAUGGGGCUUGAUCCCAAGACCCUGGGAUCAUAUUUGCGCCGAAGGCAGAGAUUUAACCCACUGAGUCACCCAGGUGCCCCAACCAUAGUUCUUUUAAAGCCCUUGCUUGUUAAAGCAAUAUUGGGAUCACUUGUGUGUCUAUUUUUACUGCCUAUUUUUCUCUUGGUUUUCAUUUUCUUUCUUUUGUUUACUGAUUUUGAUUUGAUAUUAAGCACUGCUUAUAAAAGCUGUGGCUUGUCGAGAUGAUGUCUUCUAUUACAGAGUGUUCACCUUUUUUCUGCAAGGCAGAGAGAAUAGAAGCUGAGCACCUUGACCUAGUUGGUGACUUAGCUAUCCUAAGGCUGAAUUGCAGUUAUUUAUUUAGUUAAUGUUUAAGGCUGUAGCCCAUCUUUUAUUUGUUCUUGUUCCUAGUAUAUAGUUCCCAAGACUUUGAACUAACAGCUGGUGAGUUCACUGCAAUCCUUCCCCUGGAGGGUCCUUAACUCUAAUCUGUAGUGUCCAAAACUUUGAAAGGCUGUGGAAAACAUUAUUCAUUUCAGAGGCUUCUGCCUGCAGCCUUAUGUGCCUUCAAAAUUUGGUAAAUGUCUUGAAGGGAUACUGUAGUUUUGAGACCUCUUAAGUCUCCAGUUUUGUCACCCUAAUUCUAUGGCAUUCUGCCUGAGCCAAGCUCAUAUUCUUAGCCUUUUGCCUAAGCCCAGGGUCAGCAAAUGCCUCUGGAAAAAAAGCAGCUUCAGAUCAUAAGAUCACUUUCUUAUGUUCUCCCUUUAGAAUUUUAACUAAGUUAGCUCCAUGGUAUGAGUUGCUUCCUCAGAUCUCCAAUGAUUAUAAACAUUGAUUCAUCUGGUUUUUCUAGUUAUUAUUAUUAUUAUUAUUAUUUUUAA
This is a long non-coding RNA of Lutra lutra (Eurasian river otter), 2806 nucleotides long. RefSeq lists it as uncharacterized. The record is from RefSeq and is a predicted model, not a curated record. Lineage: Eukaryota; Metazoa; Chordata; Mammalia; Carnivora; Mustelidae. The transcript has 3 exons.